This 222-nucleotide unclassified non-coding RNA is filed under the name fungal sp. RNAcentral describes it as "partial internal transcribed spacer region". The stretch from base 1 to 46 matches the Rfam family "Eukaryotic small subunit ribosomal RNA", at positions 1786 to 1831 of the family's 1831-position model. Lineage: Eukaryota; Fungi. RNAcentral also lists the same sequence under 1 other name. The record is from RNAcentral.
AAGUCGUAACAAGGUUUCCGUAGGUGAACCUGCGGAAGGAUCAUUAUUGUAGGGACUCCGGUCCCCUCAAGAUGCAACCCGUGCCUUUUUUGUAGCCCGUAACGUUUCCUCGGCAGCCCCGCUGCCAGCGAGGACCCCCCCCAAACCAAACCUGCAAUCUCAGUAAAAAAUUCAGAAACCCCCAAAAAUUUAAAACUUUCAACAAUGGAUCUCUUGGCUCUG